This 253-nucleotide ribosomal RNA is filed under the name uncultured bacterium. RNAcentral describes it as "partial 16S ribosomal RNA". It matches the Rfam family "Bacterial small subunit ribosomal RNA", at positions 524 to 776 of the family's 1533-position model. The record is from RNAcentral.
UACGUAGGAGGCGAGCGUUGUCCGGAGUUACUGGGCGUAAAGGAUGCGCAGGCGGCCCGACAGGUGUGUGGUGAAAUCUCCCGGCUUACCUGGGAGGGGGCCACGCAAACCGUUGGGCUUGAGGCUCGGGGAGGGGCGCGGAAUUCCCGGUGUAGCGGUGAAAUGCGCAGAUAUCGGGAGGAACACCGGUGGCGAAGGCGGUUCUCUGGGCCUUACCUGACGCUGAGGAGCGAAAGCGUGGGGAGCGAACAGG